AAUUUAGUCAAACCUUCAAAUAACUCAGUAGUUCUGGGAUUGUUCUAGAUUUGCAUAUCAAAAUCCCAGUGAUAAUCAGGUGAUGGAUUCAGCCUUUUGUGUCUAUGGACAGCACUCAAAAGCACUUGGUCAAGUUAUUUUUGAAAUUGAAAAGUAAUAACACUAUUUUUUCACUACCUCUGUACUAAGCACACCAUUGCACAACAUAGCCUUUGCUUUACUUCCAAUACUCCACUAAUUUGAGACUAAAAUAUCCUUUGAAACAUCAGGGGAACUUCUCUAGUCUUCAUCCAAUGAAAAGAGAGAGGAAGGAUUUCUGCGCCCUCUAUUUUAAAUGCAAGGCAGUCUAAAAAGAGGAAAUAUAUACAAAAUAUUUAGUUUAUUUUAGAUUUGUUCAUGUUUAGUGAUUGAAGUUUUCAGUCUUCUAAUAGAGUGUAAAAUUAGCCCUGAGAAAAAUAAGAACUCUGUUUUUUGGGUGGGUUGAAAUGUCAUGUGUUUUUUGGCAUUGGUUUUACCAAGGUAAUAGUUCUCUGUGUAGCUGAAUUUGCCAUUUGUGACAGCAAAAUGAGGAACCUGAAACCCUGCCUCCAGAGAUGCUCCAAGCUGAUGUUCAGAUUCCCAGCUAGACUGCCCAGGUUAACUGUUCCUGAGCUGUGAGUGCCAUGUAUGUACUUGUAACAAAUGGACUUUAGAGCUAGAAGGGUACACAAAAUAAUGUCAGUAACAUUCACCAAAGUAUCUAUAACCUUUUGGAAAGAAAAUUGUCUGUAGUUUGUAAGAUACAAAAUGCAUUCCUACAGGGGGUUGUGAGAAGGACAUGUUGAUAACCAGUUCAUGUGAUUUUCCUGUUUUGCUCAUGCCUGUAGCACUUGUGACUUAUUAAGAGAUGGUGAGUCAUCUUUUUCCACAUGGCCAUUAAUUACACCUUUGGAUUGCUGUGCUCUGUUACAAGAGCCAGCUUAAAUAUGAACAGCUGUAUGACUCUUUCACAGAGCCUACCUUAGAAGCAAAAAUUGUCAGAUUUAAGCACAGAUUAGCAUAAGUUAUGUAAAAAGAAAAAAAAAUGUGGAAUUUGGUGAAAACUUUGGUGAGGCUAAGUGGUCUUUAUAUCACUUGACACAUCCAUUUGGAUAAACUGAAAUCUCAGUGAAAUAUCUGUCCAGGUUGCUCUGGGUAUUCAAGACAGAGGAGGAGGAGAAAGUCAUCUUCCAGAAUGUCUGGGCUGAAUAAAGAAGGAGAGGGAGGAUUUGGUGGGUU
RNAcentral lists this long non-coding RNA (1257 nucleotides) under Cyanistes caeruleus (blue tit). RNAcentral describes it as "lncRNA (ENSCCEG00000000141.1)". Lineage: Eukaryota; Metazoa; Chordata; Aves; Passeriformes; Paridae. The record is from RNAcentral.